This 31-nucleotide non-coding RNA is filed under the name Rattus norvegicus (Norway rat). Lineage: Eukaryota; Metazoa; Chordata; Mammalia; Rodentia; Muridae. The record is from RNAcentral.
UAAGUAUGUGUCGAUGAGUUUGGGAUCAAGU